Amaranthus tricolor (Joseph's coat) is the source of this 9807-nucleotide long non-coding RNA. RefSeq lists it as uncharacterized. The record is from RefSeq and is a predicted model, not a curated record. The transcript has 3 exons. Lineage: Eukaryota; Viridiplantae; Streptophyta; Magnoliopsida; Caryophyllales; Amaranthaceae.
UUCCUUUAUUUGGUUGAGGAGGUAAAUUUCCCACAAAGUUUCACUUUUUAAAAAUCAAAUUAUUGCAACACUUUCCUAGAAAUGUUGCAUUAUAUGUUAAUAAGCAACACUUAUUAAUUUUACAUACAAAGUAUUAGUUUUCUAAUCAAAUGCUAACAUAUAAAUUAAGUGUUGCAAAUAAAGAUUAUUAGAGACUUAUUUUCAAGUAGUGUGGGUUGAACAAGUCAAAGUCGAGCAUUAGUUGUUGUCUAAGACUUUGAAGAUUAGUUCAGCAUAACCAGUUGGAGAAAUCAAGGAAUAAAGUUUCAAUUGUUUUAACGACUAUGUUUGAGGCGUAACAUAUAUAUAUUUAAGAGGCUUUAUUCAAGAAUUAAGAGGAUUACAACACAAUUUACAACUUAGCAUUCUACUUUGAGUCUUAAGAUAAAAAAGUGUUGUAAACUUAAUUCAUCUAACUCUCUCAUUGUAAUAGGUCUUAGAGUAAAAUCAAGUUAGAACAUUAAUUUCAUCUACACCUUAAAGCUUGGAAUACUUUUAAAAGUAUUCAUUUGAUUUCUCUAUGUGAGAUUGAGAUUAGAACUUUUAUUAAGAGAAAUUGUAAAAUGUUUUUCACGGGGAAGAGCAUGGUGAGAGAAGAUAGAGAGAUCUUCGUGGUCAUCUAGGGUUCAUUAAUAAAAGGCGCUGAAUCCUAAAGGUUGGAGAAGAACCCAUAAGCGGAGAAUAUUCGACAUAAAAAAGUUCCAGAAAAGUGUUUUGAAAGGUCUCCUAAGUUCUUGAGCUAACCUUCCAGAGAAAAAUUUUAAACGGACAUACUCUGAUUCACCCCCCCUUCUAGAGAGUAUUCGAUCUCCUAUGAACCUUCAAUUUGUAUGAGAGUUGUGUAUCACGUAUAAAGAUUAAUAUCUUGUGAUGGAUCCGAUAGGAAAAGGGCUGUUUGCUCAAGGUCGUUCGUGCUCUAGACCUUCUUUAAUUUUUGGAGCGAAUUUCUCUCGUUGGAAAACUUUGAUGAAGAUGUUUGUGAUUGAUCAAGAUGUGGAACUUUGUGACAUCAUAACCAAAGGGUUUAAGGUGCCAAUGAAAAAGGACGCUCAAGGUAAUGAUGUUGAAUCAAUCGUGUUGCGAUUUAAAUGAUAACGAGUUUAGUAGGGUUUAAUCAAGCACAAGUACUAAGGAAUAUGGGAUAAGUUUGUUGUGACGUAUAAAGGAAAAAGUCAAGUCAAGGAGACAAAGAUCAACAUCCUCAUGCAUCAAUACCAAAUGUUCAAGAUGAAAAAUGAUGAGAAUAUUAGUGAAAUGUUUACUCCUUUUAAAUUGAUUACUAACAGUUUGAAUUCCGUUGGCAAAACUUUUACUAAUGCAGAAAAAGUCCAGAAGAUCUUGAGGUGUUUUGCAAUAUCUAUAUGGGGUGCAAAAGUCACCGCCAUUAAAGAAGCUCAAGACUUGACAGUACUAUUACUUGACGAUCUUCUUGGAAAGCUCACAACUCAUGAACUUACCCUACAUGAUGAUGGAGAAUGUGAUAUCACGCCAUCCAUAAAGAAUCUUGCACUAAAGGCAAAGAAGCAUCAAUAAUCCUCACGCGAAAAAGAGGAAAGUGAUGACGAGGAAGAUCCAUUUGCCUUAAUCACAAAAGGUCAAGAAGGAAUUAUGAGAAUGUGAAAAAGAUAUAAAAAAUUCAAAUUUAGAAACGACUACAAAGGUAAAUCUUCUAAUUCCAAUUCUAAAACUAACAAACUUGCUUGUUUUGAGUGUGGAUCUACAGAGCAUCUUGUAAAGAAAUAACAUAAAAAGAAAAAUGAAUACUAUAAGAAAAACAAAAAGAAAGAAGCAAUAAUUGCUAAGUGGAGUGACUCUGAAGGGUCAAGCGAAUCAAAAAAUGAAGAUGGUCAAGCUCACUUAUGUCUAAUGGCAAAUGAUGACAAAGAUGACGAACUAGUACAAACCUCUAAGAGGGAAAAGCAAAAAUGGAUCUUAGAUAGUGGAUGUUCGAGACAUAUGAGUGAUAAAGUUUCUUUAUUUUUCAGAAAUUAAAGAAAAGUGCAGUGGCUCGAUUCUUUAGGUGAAAAAGGUAAAAACAAAUUAUUAGGUGUUGGCAAAGUUAGUAAGGAUCCUUCUAAAGUUAUGAUAAAUGUUUAUUUGGUUGAAGGUCUAAAAUUUAAUUUUUUAUAUGUGUCUUAAUUAUGCGAUAAAGGUAAUCAAGAGAUAUUUGAUAAAGAAAAAUGUGUUGUCAAAAAUCCUAACACCAGAGAUACAUUUAUUACCGCCCUUAGACAUGAUAAUGUUUAUGCUUUGGAUACUAACAAAAUUGCAGCUCAAAACUUGAAGUCUUUAAAGGCUAUAACGGAUGAUCCAAAGCUAUGGCAUAGAAGUCUUGGUCACAUCAAUACACACACCAUGCACAAAUUAGUAAGUAAAGAUCUGGUUAAGGGAAUUCCAACUCUUGAAUACAAGCAGAGUCCUUCAUGUGAUGCAUGCAUUAGAGGUAAACAAGUAAGAAGUUCAUUUACACCGAAAAAAAUGGUAAGCACUUCUAAACCAUCUGAACUUCUACAUAUUGAUCUAUGUGGUCCAAUGCGUGUGAGGAGCAUACAAGGUAAAUCUUAUAUCAUAGUAAUAGUUGAUGAUAAUUCUAGAUUUACGUAGGUUGAGUUUUUGAAGCAUAAAAGGGAAGGCUUGAAGCCGUUUUCAAGACGUUGUAAAGAAAUGCAAACUCUGUUGAAUUGAAACAGUCGCAUUAUUAUGAGAUUUCAUUAGUCGUUUUUAGCGCCUAAUUUUUAUAUAUAUUUGUUCGUUACUAAUUAUAAUUUAAUUAGUGAUGGUAGUAAUUUGAAAAAUCCCUACGAUGAUUAGAAACUUGUUAAUUCGUAACGUGAUUAUGAAUCGUAACAAGUAAUGUAAACUUUGGAGGUAAAACUUAAAGUUGAGCAACUACCCCUAACAGUUUGAGAAAAUUUUAAUUAUUACCUGAGCAUAUUAUUUAACCACGAUGGGAGUAAAUUAACAUAUACAAGUGAUUUUUAAACAUGAAGUACAAGUUACAUAACUUAUUACAUGUACAACGAUUUUUACACAAAUUUUAAACUAUCUUAGAUAAACCUUUCUUACACCAUAAUAGACUAAAUUGAGGAAAAAAAGCACCCCAAAUUAGCCCCAAAUAGCAGCCAAUAUGGCCGUCUCCUAUUCCCUUAGUAGCUCCUUGUUCACUUACAUACUCAAGCCAAUCACAAUACCCUAAACCCCUUUUGUUCUACCCAAAGCUUGUGCAUCAUGACAAGCAUACAAGAGACAAAUAUUUGAAGCAAAAACACUCUAUUUUUUGAAUAAUGAAUCAGCCAUAAACCCCAGCACAUUGCUCCUAAGUUCAUCCAUAAACAAACACUAGAAUCCUUCAAACAUUCAAUUACUCAAAAACCUUCUUUUCUCAUCAAAUCUUCUUCAAAAAUCCAUCUAAAACUUUUGAAAAUUUAUGUUUAUAAACUCAAAUCUCCCAUAAAAAUAAUCUUCAUUUCAAGAGCUUUCCAUAGACACCAAACUUGAAGAAAUUCAUCAAGUAUAGAGUAAGUUAUGUGCAUUUCCAAUACUUUUUGUUAGAACUUGUUCAUGUAAAACUUUUUUUUUUGUUCAUGAAUCCUUCUAUAAACUAAGAUUAUUAUAAAAUGGGUAUUUUAUCUCUAAGACUAAGAAAAUCAUCACUUAUAAAUCAAUAAAAAUCGGCUAUAAUAUAAAUUAAGAAGAUGUAUUUCAACAAACAUAUAAAUUUUCUUACUUUAAGGAAUAAGUAAAAUUAUGGGACAUGAUUAAGUAUGUUGCUCAACAUAAUAAGUAUACUCCAAAUAUGUUCAAAUCAUCACAAGAAUUAGUUUAACAACUGCAACUAAGGAAAGUUAAGUGCAUGUUAGAAAUCCAAGAUUAUUAUUAAUUUUUCGAUGAAUGCAAUAUGUUUAGUUGAAGAGUUGGAGUUGAGACUAGAAGGGCAAGGACCCGAAGUUGGAACCACUUAUAAGAACGCAUAGGAGCUUACGUGGGAGCUUACAGAAUAUUUAUAUAAGCUUGGAGUCGAGAGUAAACCCCAAUGGCACCUCGAUGGAGAAUGGAUAUGUGAGCGGAAGAUGAACCCGAGUUGGAGUAUGACUCCCCUUUUGUUUAGAUCUCUUUAUUGUAUUUGAGAGACUAUUAGUUUAGUUGUUUUGAUUUGGACUAUUUUAAGGAUGUAAUUUGAACUUUGGACUUAUUUUGAUUUGGUUGUAAUUUUCCUUUAUUUUAGACAGUUAAGACUUCUGUUAUAUUGCUUUGGUUUUGGUUCAAGUAUUCUACUUGGACAUUGAUUUAUCCUUUAAGUAACCCCUUAAUUGUGUUGGCAAAAUUAAGCUUCCGCUUGAUUAAUACUAAAUUCCAGUUAGUGUUGGCCUUUAUAAUUCGAGGCGGUUACAUGAAUCUUCCAAUAGUUUUGGUUAGAAGUGAUAAUGGGAGAGAGUGUGAUCAACUAGGCUUUCAAUCUUUUUGUGAAAAAUACGGUAUAAGUCAUAACUUUUCAACUCCUGGGACACCACAACAAAAUAGUGUGGUUGAUUGGAAAAAUCGCACUUUAGAAGAAAUGGCCAGGACUAUGCUCAUAGAAAAUGGAUUAGCCAAACAUUAUUGGGCUGAGUUAAUUAAUACAACAAACUAUGUCUUGAAUAAGUGUCUCAUUUGACCUAUACUUAAGAAAACCCCUGACAUGCUAUUUAAAGGUAGAAAACCAAACAUAGCCUACCUUAGACCAUUUGGUUGUAAGUGUUUUAUCCAUAAUAAUUAUAAGGAUAAUCUAGGUAAGUUGGAUGCUAGAAGCGAUGAAGGUAUAUUUCUAGGAUACUCAUUAAAUAGUAAGGCUUAUUGAGUGCUAAUAAGCGAACAAGUAUGGUUAAGGAAAGCAUACAUGUGGUAAUUUAUGAAUCCGACAAUGGAAUAUUAAGUGAACAUUUUAAUGAGUUAAACCUUAACAAACAUUUUGAUGACGUAAGUGAUGAUGAAUUAGAUGCCAAUUAUCAUAGUGAAGAUAAAAUGAAGAAUAUGUAAGAUACUAUACAAAGUCAGCCAACCUGAUCUUGAGAGCCAAGUCAACCAACCUCAAGACCUGGAAAAAGCUCCUGAACGUACUUAUUUUAAUACUUCAACUAAAUAUUCCUCAAAGAAAGUAGGAACGAGUUCUCUAAAUGAUCACACACCAUGCAUACUAAGAAGACGGUUUAGAUUAUCAUCUCAACAUCCUCCGGAAAACAUCAUAAGUCAUCCAAACAAAGGUACUCAAACUCGAUCCUCUCUUAAAAAUUUAUGUGCAUGAUCUGCUUUUGUUUCUCUUGUAGAACCAAAGGAUAUAAAAGAAGCAAUAAAAGAACCGGAGUGGAUCAUUACUAUGCAAAGUGAACUAAAUGAAUUCGAAAGAAAUAAAGUUUCGUAUCUAGUUGAAAGACCACUAGAUCGUACUAUUAUUGGAACUAAGUGGGUCUUUCGCAACAAGCUCAAUGUGGAUGGAGAGAUAAUAAGGAACAAAUCAAGGCUAGUAGCACAAGGCUAUAAUCAAGAAGAAGGUAAUGAUUAUGACGAAACCUUUGCACCCGCAGCAAGGUAAGAAUCUAUUCGAAUUAUGCUUGCUUUUGCUUCGUAGAUGAACAUAAAAUUGUAUCAAAUGGAUGUUAAAUGUGCUUUCUUAAAUGGCUACUUACAAGAAGAAGUAUAUGUUAAACAACCAUCUAGUUAUAAACAUCCGAACUUGCGUAAUCAUGUGUUUAAACUAAACAAAGCAUUAUAUUACAUGAAACAAGCUCCAAACGCUUGGUAUGACAGAUUUAGUUCACAUUUACUUGAUAAUAACUUUCAACGAGGUAAAAUUGAUAAAACGCUUUUUAUUAAGACUAAAGGAAAUGAUAUUCUUGUUGUUCAAAUAAAUGUUGAUGAUAUAUUGUUUGGAGCUACUAAUGAUUCUUUGUUCAAGGAAAUUUCUAAGAUCAUGUGCAAAGAAUUUGAAAUGAGCAUGAUCGGAGACUUAACAUUUUUUUCUUGGACUGCAAAUAAAGUAAAAGAAAGAUGGCAUAUUUAUUUGUCAAAGUAAAUAUGUUAGAGAUCUUUUAAAGAAGUACAAUAUAGAUCAAUGCAAGAGUGCUAAUAUGCCUAUGAGUGCAACACUAAGUCUAGAUCAAGAUAUAAAUGGUAAGAGUACUGUUGAUCAAACGUCUUAUAGAGGUAUGAUUGGUUUUUAGAAUACCAUGAAAUCAAAGAUGAUUUCAAGAAUUGACACGAUCAUGAAGUGCUCUUUCUAUGCACCUUAUAACUGGCAUAAUUCGCAUUUGAAAAACCAAUCAAAGCAAAAUUUCCACAACUAGGGUACCGUAGAGCUAAUUGUCCAGAUAUAAUUAUGUGCUUGUUUUCAAGCUAACCCAAAAGAAUCUCACUUAAUAGCAGUUAAGAGAAUCUUUAGAUAUUUACAUGGGACUAAAGACUUUAGUCUAUGGUACCCUAUUAUGGAAAUUUUAUUUUAAUGGUUUUUCAGAUGCGGAUUAUGCCGGUUAUAAGGUGGAUAGAAAUAGCACUUCAGGAUCGUGUCAAUUCUUGGGAUCAUCUUUGAUUUCAUGGUAUUCUAAAAAUCAAAAUUCAGUGGCUUUAUCUAUAGCAGAAGCGGAAUAUAUAGUAGUCGAUGCAUGUUGUUCUCAAAUUUUAUGGAUUGCACAACAGCUUCGAGAUCUUAAAGUUAAUUUCAAAGGCAUUCCAAUUAAGUAUGAUAAUAUAAAUGCAAUUUGUAUUACUAAGAAUCCUAUACAACAUUCACAUACAAAAGACAUUGAGGUACGUCACCAUUUCAUACACGAUCAUGUUGAAAAAGGUAACGUAACUUUAUCUUUUAUUCCUACAGAAAAUCAAUUAGCGAUAUAUUUACAAAGCCUUUAAGUCUUGAUUGUUUUGCAUAUAUUCGUAUGGAACAUGGAGUGUUGAAUGAUGUUGCAUGAAUUUAGGGGGAGUAAGGGUUAAAUAAAUAUUAUGCAUAUAUUUAGGGGGAGUUAAUUUAGGUACUUAAUCAAAUAUUUCGUAUGAGUAGUUUACGUAAAAAUUUUGAUAUGAUUGCAUGUGGUUAUGUGUGUUUACGGUCAAAAAUAUAUGUAAGUGUGUAGAAAAAUUAAUAUCAAUACAUUAAAAUAUAUUUUAUAUAUAUAAAUGGUUAAAAAUUAAGUACCUUUAAUUAAUAAAGGAUAUUUAAUUUUCUUAAACUAAAUUUGUGCGUUUGGAAAUAAAUCUUGGACGUCAAAGUACAUCUUAAAUAUCUAGUUCAUGAACUUAGUCCUAAUUCAACUAGAACUUAAUUACGGUCAUGAUUAUGAUUUAUGCUCACACCCCCACGUCUCUCAAAUCCAUAAACCAGUCAAUUUUUGUUCCCAUUCAUUAUUGUUUUUUCCCUAGUUGCCAAAUCAGAACUUUAUUGUGUACAAAUCCAUUGUACUUCAUUUCCCUUUUAAAACCCUUGUGAACCGUAUUUUUCAUGCACAUUUCCUUUUCAUCCCUCUUGCUUUCCCUUUCAAGAAAAACAUUUGUUUUAAAGCUUUUCAAGAACCCAUCUAUGGCACCGAAAAAUCACUAGUUCUUCUAGUAAAUCUGAAAAAGGCGAGUCAUCAAAGACUCCAAGGCUUGAAACUCCCAACCCAUCCAUUCCCUCAGCUCAUGCUUCUUUAGAGGUUCCCAAAACUUGGUUUGAAAAUCACACAGCGUUUGGUAGAUUGAUUGAUUUUACAUUCAAGCACAGAUCAUAAUCUUUUGUUGACGUUCUUGAUUACAAUUUCUUUUUAUUCGAAGAUUUUGAUGUUGUUUCAUCCUUUAUUCAAAUAACUCCAGGAAGCUAUUGGAUCCAGUUACCCCAUUCUUAUUAAAAUCUUCUAUUGUAAUCUAUUUUUCAUUACUAUAGAUGACUUUUCGGCCUUGAGGAGUUUUAUCAAAGGCUAAGAGACUGUAAUCUCUAAAAACCUAAUAAAUGAUCUGUUUAAAUUUUCACAUGAUGAGGAAGAUUCCACCCCCAACUUCGUGGCUUUUUGAAAAUGCCAAAGAUAUGUUUGUGCUUACUUCACAUUUUGAUUUUUCUCCAACCCGAGAACUUACUUACAAUGGCUUGAAUCUGUGUGGGAAGUUGCUUCAAUUCCUCUUGCGAACUUGUUACAGAUGCUCACUUUAUUUUAAUGUGUAAAGUAGCUACCGCAAAAAUAAUCGAUUAUGCUUCCCUCAUUAUAUCCAACAUGCAUUUUUAUAGUUCUCCUAUCCACAAUAUUGCUCUUCUUUAUGUUAAUUUGUUAACAUUGGUCUUUGACCAUUUUAAUCUACUCUCUGAUUUAGAGGAAGGGUAUUAUUCUAGUCCUCAGUCCCUUUCUGACAAUAUCCUCCCUUCCAUUAGUAUUUUCAAAGUUCAUGAUAAGUAUGACUUGUACUCAAAUUUCUGAAAAGGAGUAUCUUCUGAAGUUCCAUGGGAAAAAAAUCACCACCUUGAACCAUACAUCAAAGACCACACUACCCAUUCUCACCUUCAGUCCCUUGACUCUGAGGUUAGUGAAAUAAAACUGUCCCUCCUUGAACUUCACGAAAAAGUUUCCACUCUUACAUUUAUGUUAGAUACUUUAAUGAAAGAGAUGAAGGGUACGGUUGUUGCGCAAGUGGUUGAAGAAGAAGACGUGGAGGAAGAAAAGGCUGAUGAAAAGGAGGAGCUAACCAGUGAGGAGGCUGAGCAGGUUGAGGAAGAGGUAGAGAAGGAGAAGAAGAGGAGGAAAAGAAGGAAGAGGAGGUUGCUACCCCAAUUGCUCAAGCACCACCACCACCACCAGUUGAGACUACACCUUGCCUUGGUAAACCCAAAGCUUCCAUGAAAAGGAAGACUAGGUCCAGGAAGCAAUUUCUUUUUAAAAUGUUAGUUUGAUGGACAAUAUUUUUGGCAAACAAUUUAGUUUUUGCAAAAACAAAUCCCAACAUUGUUAAUCCCUAUUUCUUUUUGAUGAAAGUCAAAAAGGGGGAGAAUAUUUUGGUUUGUAAUAGUUAGAUUAGUCAUAGCUUAUUUUGCACGCUGCUUGAUCAUUGGUUUGCUUAUGCUUAAUUAUUUGCUUGAUUGUUGAUAUUGCUCCUAUUCAUAGUCAUGCUAUCAUGUUCAUGCUUGAUUAUUUUGCUUGAUGAUUAUCGUUCAUUUGUUAAUACUGAUUAUUGAUGAUCAUGAUACAUUACUGAUGAUAUGGUCUUAAAAUGAUGAUGAUCGUUUCUUUGCAUGAGCUAUAGUUGGUUGUUUGAUUGCUUGUUGUUUUGGUAAACUUUGAUUGAAAUUAGCUAGAAACGUUGCAUGUUUUUCUAUUGGUAGAUACAUAUUAAAUGUUAUGGAUAUACUCCCUCCUAUUUAUCUAAUGUGUUCCAUUGACUUUUCACCAUUUUCAGGUGGUCAAAUGGGACCACAUGUGAAAGAAAGAUUGUAGUGUUUUUGAAUUUUGAUAGGGGUAAAAUAGGGUUGAUAAGUAUAAAGGUGUGAAAAAGUUAAGUUUAGUAAGGGUAAAUUGGUAAAGUUAGCAUACCCAAAAUAGAAAUGAGACAUUUAGGGUGACCUAACUAAAUAAGGAAAUGGGACACUUUGGAUGAAUAGGAGGGAGUAUUAUGCUUACUGUUCUGUUUGAAUAGAUUUCAAAGUCUUGAAAAUAUUCUGUUUAAUAAUAAUAUUACAUGGUUUAUAAAUUUAUCUAAGUGUUUAUUCUUAUCAUGUUUUAAAUCAUGUUCACAUAGUAAUAUGAUUUAGGAAAAUAUGGUUUUGACUUUCAUAAAGAA